UACGAAGGGGGCGAGCGUUGUUCGGAUUUACUGGGCGUAAAGGGCGCGUAGGCGGCCCCUCAAGUCAGGCGUGAAAGCCCCGGGCUCAACCUGGGAGGUGCGCUUGGGACUGAGGGGCUGGAGUUCGGGAGAGGAGCGUGGAAUUCCCAGUGUAGAGGUGAAAUUCGUAGAUAUUGGGAAGAACACCGGUGGCGAAGGCGGCGCUCUGGACCGAGACUGACGCUGAGGCGCGAAGGCGUGGGGAGCAAACAGGAUUAGAUACCCUGGUAGUCCACGCGGUAAACGAUGUGUGCUAGACGUUGGGGAGCCUAGCUCUUCGGUGUCGCAGCAAACGCUUUAAGCACACCGCCUGGGGAGUACGGCCGCAAGGUUAAA
RNAcentral lists this ribosomal RNA (375 nucleotides) under uncultured bacterium. RNAcentral describes it as "bacterial SSU rRNA". It matches the Rfam family "Bacterial small subunit ribosomal RNA", at positions 524 to 898 of the family's 1533-position model. The record is from RNAcentral.